AGGAAGGCAACAGUUUGAAGCUCUCAUCAGAAAUUGCCCUCAUUCUCAUCAGAGAGCUGACCUUGUUUUCGUAAACCAUUGCUUGUGUUGCAGCUGGUUUAAUAGUUUUUUCCACUCCAAAAGCUUUGAUGAAACUCUAUUUUCAUCUCGGUUAAGAUAUUUGCAUCAAGGGACCAAAAGAGAAGCUGAACUCAACUGUUAUAAGCUAGAUUCGUACUAAGUUGGGUGGAAUCUUUGAAUCCCUUCCCCCUGAGGAGAAGGCCGAAUAUGGGAUGGUUAUCAAAAAGAAAAAUUCGAAAGAUGACGAGACGUUCCACUGCAAGUGCAAUCCUGAAAGGGUUGUGGCUUUAGGAAGAAUAUUGAGUCCUUAGCAAAACAAGACAGUGAGGAAUAUUGGAUUUGGUGCAAUGUUGGAUUUGAAGAUGGACUGUGUGAAGAGCAAGUUAGAUAGGUGGUUAGUUGAUCAGAUUGAUGAUGGUGGGAGGGUGCUUAUUGUGGGUACCACGAUCAUAGAGUUGAAGUUGUGUCUUUUCGAGCAUGUUAUGGGGAUUAGGGAUGGCGGUACCUCUAUCAAACUACCUGAGAAGAAUCACUACAACCCUUACCAUGAUUUGAUUUUCAACAUGCAUAAGAAAUCCACUACCAUUGAUGACUUGGAGAAAUUAAUUGAACGGAGCAAUAUAGUAGACUAGCUCUUUCUCAUGUGUUACAUAUUGUUCGUAAUUACGACCGUUCUUUUUCUAACGUCGGGAAUUCAUGUUAAGAAAGCAUACCUAUCCAUUGUCUACAAUGUGGAGUCUAUUACGAAUUUCAAUUGGGCGACACACCCCUCAACUUUCUCUGUGAGCAGAUUCAACGUUUGAAGCGGGAGAGAUUCAUUACAUGCCCGGUUGUUCGCUCUUCCUGCAGUUAAUGUUCAUAGAUAGAGCUUUGUGGCCUCGUGGGCAGAUAGAUAGGAGUAUCCCCCGAUUGCACUUUGGGAUAAGACCACUAUGAGGAAAUUUGCGCUUUUCAUCGACCGUAAAGGAGGUUAUGAGAUUACCGAGGUGAGUGUCCAAAGGCAGUCAUAUAUAUAAAUAAAUUUAUUUAUCUCCUUCAUUGUUUUGAAUUGUGGAGCUGCAAAUUUCGAAUUUUCCUUUUCAUUCUUUAACAUCUAGACCAUAUUUUCUUUUCAUUAGCAUAUUAAGAUUGCAUUUGCACAACUCAAAUGCAGAAAUUGUUGUUUUCUUCUUUCUGAUUCUAAAGCCAUGAACAAGUCAUUUUUUAAGUUUCAUGUUUGUCAUUACAUGAAUCAAAUAACAAGUCAUUUAUGUUAACUUGUAUUAUAUAAAAAUAUACAUUACAAUCUCAUAUUCUUAAUUUUUUUUA
Molecule: long non-coding RNA, 1368 nt
Organism: Humulus lupulus (European hop)
Lineage: Eukaryota; Viridiplantae; Streptophyta; Magnoliopsida; Rosales; Cannabaceae
Exons: 5
Source: RefSeq, a predicted model, not a curated record